CCUACGGGUGGCAGCAGUGAGGAAUAUUGGUCAAUGGACGAGAGUCUGAACCAGCCAAGUAGCGUGAAAGAUGACUGCCCUAUGGGUUGUAAACUUCUUUUAUAUGGGAAUAAAAUGUUCCACGUGUGGGAUUUUGUAUGUACCAUUUGAAUAAGGAUCGGCUAACUCCGUGCCAGCAGCCGCGGUAAUACGGAGGAUCCGAGCGUUAUCCGGAUUUAUUGGGUUUAAAGGGAGCGUAGGUGGAUUGUUAAGUCAGUUGUGAAAGUUUGCGGCUCAACCGUAAAAUUGCAGUUGAAACUGGCAGUCUUGAGUACAGUAGAGGUGGGCGGAAUUCGUGGUGUAGCGGUGAAAUGCUUAGAUAUCACGAAGAACUCCGAUUGCGAAGGCAGUUCACUGGACUGCAACUGACACUGAGGCUCGAAAGUGUGGGUAUCAAACAGGAUUAGAUACCCUAGUAGUC
RNAcentral lists this ribosomal RNA (460 nucleotides) under uncultured bacterium. RNAcentral's name for it is "partial 16S ribosomal RNA". It matches the Rfam family "Bacterial small subunit ribosomal RNA", at positions 338 to 795 of the family's 1533-position model. The record is from RNAcentral.